AGAGUUUGAUCCUGGCUCAGGAUGAACGCUGGCGGCGUGCUUAACACAUGCAAGUCGAACGAUCCUUCGGGAUAGUGGCGGACGGGUGAGUAACGCGUGGGAAUCUGCCCUCAGGAGGGGGAUAACGGCUGGAAACGGCCGCUAAUACCCCAUAUGCCGAGAGGUGAAAUGAAUUUCGCCUGAGGAUGAGCCCGCGUCUGAUUAGCUAGUUGGUGGGGUAAUGGCCUACCAAGGCAACGAUCAGUAGCUGGUCUGAGAGGAUGAUCAGCCACACUGGGACUGAGACACGGCCCAGACUCCUACGGGAGGCAGCAGUGGGGAAUUUUCCGCAAUGGGCGAAAGCCUGACGGAGCAACGCCGCGUGAGGGAUGAAGGCCUCUGGGCUGUAAACCUCUUUUCUCAAGGAAGAAGAUCUGACGGUACUUGAGGAAUGAGCCACGGCUAAUUCCGUGCCAGCAGCCGCGGUAAUACGGGAGUGGCAAGCGUUAUCCGGAAUUAUUGGGCGUAAAGCGUCCGCAGGCGGCCUUGUAAGUCUGUUGUUAAAGCGUGGAGCUCAACUCCAUUUAAGCAAUGGAAACUACAAGGCUGGAGUGUGGUAGGGGCAGAGGGAAUUCCCGGUGUAGCGGUGAAAUGCGUAGAUAUCGGGAAGAACACCAGUGGCGAAGGCGCUCUGCUGGGCCAUAACUGACGCUCAUGGACGAAAGCCAGGGGAGCGAAAGGGAUUAGAUACCCCUGUAGUCCUGGCCGUAAACGAUGAACACUAGGUGUCGGGGGAAUCGACCCCCUCGGUGUCGUAGCCAACGCGUUAAGUGUUCCGCCUGGGGAGUACGCACGCAAGUGUGAAACUCAAAGGAAUUGACGGGGGCCCGCACAAGCGGUGGAGUAUGUGGUUUAAUUCGAUGCAACGCGAAGAACCUUACCAGGGUUUGACAUCCUGCGAACCCCUGAGAAAUCGGGGGGUGCCUUCGGGAGCGCAGAGACAGGUGGUGCAUGGCUGUCGUCAGCUCGUGUCGUGAGAUGUUGGGUUAAGUCCCGCAACGAGCGCAACCCACGUCUUUAGUUGCCAGCAUUCAGUUGGGCACUCUAGAGAGACCGCCGGUGAUAAACCGGAGGAAGGUGUGGAUGACGUCAAGUCAUCAUGCCCCUUACAUCCUGGGCUACACACGUACUACAAUGCUACGGACAAAGGGCAGCAAGCUCGCGAGAGUUAGCAAAUCCCAUAAACCGUGGCUCAGUUCAGAUCGUAGGCUGCAACUCGCCUACGUGAAGGAGGAAUCGCUAGUAAUCGCGGGUCAGCAUACUGCGGUGAAUACGUUCCCGGGCCUUGUACACACCGCCCGUCACACCAUGGAAGUUGGCCAUGCCCGAAGUCGUUACUCCAACCCUUGUGGAGGAGGACGCCGAAGGUGGGGCUGAUGACUGGGGUGAAGUCC
RNAcentral lists this ribosomal RNA (1433 nucleotides) under metagenome. RNAcentral describes it as "bacterial SSU rRNA". It matches the Rfam family "Bacterial small subunit ribosomal RNA". The record is from RNAcentral.